UCCGGUUUGGCACCGGCAGUCUCCGUAGAGUCCCCGACAUUACUCGCUGGCAACUACGAACAGGGGUUGCGCUCGUUGCGCCACUUAACCCAACAUCUCACGACACGAGCUGACGACAGCCAUGCAGCACCUCGACUCCAGUCCCUUGCGGGAAGACCGUGUUUCCACCGGCGUUGGGAAGCCGUUCGAGCCCAGGUAAGGUUCUUCGCGUUGCGUCGAAUUGAACCACAUGCUCCACCGCUUGUGCGGGCCCCCGUCAAUUCCUUUGAGUUUCAACCUUGCGGUCGUACUCCCCAGGCGGGGUACUUCCUGCGUUAGCGCCGGCACCCAGAGGGUCGCUCCCCCAGGCACCUAGUACCCAUCGUUUACGGCGUGGACUAC
RNAcentral lists this unclassified non-coding RNA (381 nucleotides) under uncultured bacterium. RNAcentral's name for it is "contains 16S-23S intergenic spacer region". The record is from RNAcentral.